GUCUACAACCAUACCAGCCUGAAAACUCCUGAUCUUGUCUGAUCUUGGAAGCGAAGCAGGGUGGAUUCUGGUUAGUAGUUGGAUGGGAUAAUAUAGAAGAAAGAGAAAUUCCAGUCA
This 117-nucleotide ribosomal RNA is filed under the name Chinchilla lanigera (long-tailed chinchilla). The record is from RNAcentral. Lineage: Eukaryota; Metazoa; Chordata; Mammalia; Rodentia; Chinchillidae.